AUGCAGAUGGAGUGUCCAGCUUUGAUUAGGCUGCUGCGAGCGUCCGACAACAGUUGGUACAUCACUGAGCACGGGAAAAUCACAAUCAUUCAAUGUCGCUCACCAUGGAGAAGGUGCCAUUCACAAAGAGGACUCUCGGGAAAUAUAUGUGGGAAGAUUAGCCGCGAACAAGCUGAUGAUGAUGUCUGGAAGACGCUUGAGCAGCCGCAUGGAAUACAAAUUCUUUGGGAUGUUGUCACAUUCGACACCACAUACAUGGCAAACCUGUCCAACAUGCCAUUCGGGUUAUUUGUUGGUGUUAACAAUCACUACCAGAGCAUCAUCCUGGCGGGGGUAUUGAUGCGUGAUGAACACAGAGAGUGCUUUGAGUGGGUUUUUGCAGAAUUCUUGCGUAUGAUGGCUGGGCCUGCCUCCCAAACUAUACUCACAGGCCUCGAAGCUCUGCUACGAAGUGGAGCAGCUCUUGCUGAGAAAAGGGUUGGGUUGGCUUUCAAGGAUCGACUGAUCGAAACUGUAGAUGCAAUACCAGCCGCUAACGACGAGCUAGCAUUUGUGGUGGUGGACACUGAACAGUGUCGUAGUCCUGGGCAUUCUGUCAGUGUGAAUGCAAUGCAAAAUCUUGCAGCCCCAGACAAGCUCAGAGGCGCUGGAAGGCCGACAAACAGCCGGGAGAUGGCUCCGUACGAGGGGUUAAGCAAGAGAACCAGACUCUGCAGCAUUUUCCACCGCGAGGGUCAUAAAAGGACGACAUGCCCAGAAAGAGGUGAUGCACCGAAAAAUCCAUGA
This 786-nucleotide ribosomal RNA is filed under the name Triticum aestivum (bread wheat). RNAcentral's name for it is "partial small subunit ribosomal RNA". Lineage: Eukaryota; Viridiplantae; Streptophyta; Magnoliopsida; Poales; Poaceae. The record is from RNAcentral.